This is a non-coding RNA of Schizosaccharomyces pombe (fission yeast), 977 nucleotides long. Lineage: Eukaryota; Fungi; Ascomycota; Schizosaccharomycetes; Schizosaccharomycetales; Schizosaccharomycetaceae. The record is from the annotation of a GenBank genome assembly.
ACAAAAUAAGAUCCAGAGGACCCCUUGGAAAUAAGGACCGGGAAAACGCCGUGGGCGAUUGCUUCCUUUGUAGCAUCAAGGAGUCGAACGUAGUCUUUAUAAUCAUAUCCAGCGUAAUGGGGGUAUUCCUCCCAAUGCUUUUCUGCAUGCAAAACCCAAGAAGGAGCCAUGAACACUGAAUAGUAAACUCGGGGUUUUGAGAUUGAUUCAGACUUUCGUCUUCUUGCUUGCAAAGACUUGCUUAAUUUGUUAGCCCAUUGACCAAAUUUUGACUGGGUAACUAGCCCUUUUAAGCUUCCAAAGACUUCAUUUCCCUCAUUUUCGUCUGGAAGAAGAAGACUCGACGAAGACGAACUGUUUGACGAAGCCCAUCCAUCCCUUAACGAUUCUAAGGGAUUGGUCUGUUCCUCAUUAGUGUUUAAACUAUUUUCCUGAUAAUUUGGAAAAGAAUCGAGAGUAUCUGAAUGGAAUGUCGAUUCCAUAACGCCCUGUGCAAGUACAGCACAAAAGCAAGAAUCAACGAAACUCGGCUUUUUUAAAAUAAAACUCUAGAAUGACCGAAACGGAAAAGUGAUACUAUGAUAUUAAUGAGCGUGUCAAAUCACUGCUAACGUAUCUCUUUCCCUAAAUUGCCUAGCAAAGUCUCUGUUUUUACACUUGGAACAUGGUUAGCACUUGAAUCAACUGCUCAUAAUCUUUGCUGCAAUGAGUAACGUAAUGUAGCACACUGUGGGUUUAGUACGUUAAGCAGUAUAUAUAUAUUAUAUAUACAAUGUUUAAAUACUUGAAUCGAUUAGAUACUGUAAAUUAUAAACAAACAUUACUGUAUAUUUGAAAUUCAGAAAAAACUCUUUCAGGAAACUCCCUUGAAUAUACUAAGAUUUUUAGCUGAAGAAUAUUUUAAUUUGCAGUAAAUAAAUAAAUUCAACAUGAAAUUGAACAUUACGAGAAUUCCUAGUAUCCCAAAUAAUACUCAU